RNAcentral lists this antisense RNA (75 nucleotides) under Streptomyces sp. PAN_FS17. RNAcentral describes it as "ASpks TB sRNA". It matches the Rfam family "ASpks TB sRNA". Lineage: Bacteria; Bacillati; Actinomycetota; Actinomycetes; Kitasatosporales; Streptomycetaceae. The record is from Rfam by way of RNAcentral. RNAcentral also lists the same sequence under 1 other name.
CUUGAUCGAGCCGAGCCACAGCGGCUCGUCGUCGGUGCGCGCCUGGCCGUACGUCGCGAGCAGGGCGUGUGCCUC